UGCUUAACACAUGCAAGUCGAACGGCAGCAUGACUUAGCUUGCUAGGUUGAUGGCGAGUGGCGGACGGGUGAGUAACGCGUAGGAAUAUGCCCUAAAGAGGGGGAUAACUUGGGGAAACUCAAGCUAAUACCGCAUACACUCUGAGGAGGGAAGCUGGGGACCUUAGGGCCUGGCGCUUUAGGAAUAGCCUGCGUCUGAUUAGCUAGUUGGUGGGGUAAGGGCCUACCAAGGCGACGAUCGGUAGCUGGUCUGAGAGGAUGAUCAGCCACACUGGGACUGAGACACGGCCCAGACUCCUACGGGAGGCAGCAGUGGGGAAUAUUGGACAAUGGGGGGAACCCUGAUCCAGCAAUGCCGCGUGUGUGAAGAAGGCCUGAGGGUUGUAAAGCU
Molecule: ribosomal RNA, 391 nt
Filed under: uncultured organism
Description: bacterial SSU rRNA
Rfam family: Bacterial small subunit ribosomal RNA
Source: RNAcentral